RNAcentral lists this non-coding RNA (25 nucleotides) under Cricetulus griseus (Chinese hamster). Lineage: Eukaryota; Metazoa; Chordata; Mammalia; Rodentia; Cricetidae. The record is from RNAcentral.
UUUGGACUCUGGUUGCAUACUAGGC